CCGACCGGCGCACGGUGAGUAACGCGUAUGCAACUUACCUAUCAGGAGGGGAUAACCCGGCGAAAGUCGGACUAAUACCGCAUGAAGCGAGGGCCCCGCAUGGGGAUAUUUGCUAAAGAUUCAUCGCUGAUAGAUAGGCAUGCGUUCCAUUAGGCAGUUGGCGGGGUAACGGCCCACCAAACCGACGAUGGAUAGGGGUUCUGAGAGGAAGGUCCCCCACAUUGGUACUGAGACACGGACCAA
This 243-nucleotide ribosomal RNA is filed under the name uncultured bacterium. Its description in RNAcentral is "partial 16S ribosomal RNA". It matches the Rfam family "Bacterial small subunit ribosomal RNA", at positions 91 to 334 of the family's 1533-position model. The record is from RNAcentral.